UACGAGGGGGGCGAGCGUUGUUCGGAAUUAUUGGGCGUAAAGGGUGCGUAGGCGGUUUGGUAAGUCUCUUGUGAAAUCUAUGGGCUCAACUCAUAGUCUGCAAGGGAAACUGCCGGGCUUGAGUGUGGGAGAGGUGAGUGGAAUUUCCGGUGUAGCGGUGAAAUGCAUAGAUAUCGGAAGGAACACCUGUGGCGAAAGCGGCUCACUGGACCACAACUGACGCUGAUGCACGAAAGCUAGGGGAGCAAACAGG
RNAcentral lists this ribosomal RNA (253 nucleotides) under uncultured bacterium. Its description in RNAcentral is "partial 16S ribosomal RNA". It matches the Rfam family "Bacterial small subunit ribosomal RNA", at positions 524 to 776 of the family's 1533-position model. The record is from RNAcentral.